Long non-coding RNA from Tachyglossus aculeatus (Australian echidna), 1753 nucleotides. RefSeq lists it as uncharacterized. The transcript is spliced from 4 exons. Lineage: Eukaryota; Metazoa; Chordata; Mammalia; Monotremata; Tachyglossidae. The record is from RefSeq and is a predicted model, not a curated record.
GACCGAAUGAGGAGUCGAGGAGGACAUCAAGACUGUGGGCUUCCGGGACACGGAGGAUGGUCGUGAGGAAAUAGAAACGAAUUAACAUCUGAGCCCCCUACCUUAGCCUCUUGUCCAUUAUCAGUCCAAAUGAAACCAUUAUUCCAGCACCUCAGAUCACGAUAGAAGAACGCUCUGGCUUGCCAUUACUCUCCCCCUGUAACCUCUCCACUGUCUUUGGGCACUACGCUCCAGCUGGCACUCUAGUUCCGACCAUGCUCGCCUUGUAAAUGUACUUCCCGUUGACUCUCCUCCUCCAAUUUCUCGGCCCCAUCCUUCCUCCGGUCCGGAGGGCCUACUCCCUCCCCUGCCCCCUUCAACCUGCCAGUCCCCAGUUCUCCCAUUUUCCGAGUGGUGGUGACCUUCCCUGUCGUCUAAUCCCACACAUUCCUGGUCUUGCCACCUAAGGUGGCUUAGCGCUCCUAAGUGUGUCUGUCUGCUUAUUGGCUUUUCCGUUUGUCUCAGUGCUACUACCUGCACCACGGCGCACUUGACGACGCUCUCCGCCUCUGAUGUUUCCAGAGAGGCUGGCAGAGUGGACCUCAGCUGCCCGAAUGGACUCGCUCUCUCUGCCCGAGACUUCCAGGCGCUCGCCCCUGGGACCCGCUGCAGCCCAGAACGGAUUCUGUGUCACCCAGGGAGUGCUUCGGGGGUGGGGGGUGGCCUGCUGAGGAGGGGUGCACCUGGGACAUUUGGGUGGCCAAUCUUCAAAGGUUCCACCUCAAGGUAUGAGAGAGGCUCCCCCUUCGCAAAGGGCUGAGGAAAGGCUUUACUGCAGGGAUUUCAGCAGGCCUUUCUCAGUCACUGUAUUUCUGCUUGUAGUUGUGCUUGGAUUGUACCUGGGAGGGCUCACAAGACCAAAGGACUGUACUCCUGAAAAGUAGAUGUUCCCCAAGGAGACUGUCUACCAACCCUGCGGUACUGUCCUCUUCCAAGCGGUUAGUAAGCGCUCCGCACUCAGUAAGCACUCGGUAAAUAUCACCGACGGACGGUGGCGUCUCGGUCGGCUUCCCCAGCGCCCUCCCCACCGCCCCCGCCUGUCAGCACAUCACCCGCUCCAAGGGGAACCGGUUCUUUCAUAGCAAAUGACCACACAUACCUCCAUGACGAGCUGGUGAGCCCGGGAAACCAGGGUCAGCCCGUUGGCGUGAUUAAAGGUUUCCGAGAUAUCUUGUCCAAAGGUGUAACCGGCCCCGCGAGGGGAGAUUCCCCACCCGCCGCGAUCGUCUGGAUCAGACCACAGCAGGUCACACAUGGGGCCCUGGCAAAUGGAGGAAAACGGAGGAAAACCUCAUCGGGAACCCGGCUGAUGAACGGCGGUGGCAUUCCGCUCCAGGAUAAGGGGCCCGGCUGGUUCUGCGGAUGCUAGGGAGGAGGAGUCACCACAGUGAGGAGGGUGUGCUUCGGGAGCUGACUUGGAAGAACUUCUUCAGUACGAGAGCAGGUGCCGAAACCUUGAUUCCAAACCCAGGACGGCCUAUGCAGCAGUCCCUGGCAUGGGUUCACCAGGGACACGCAAUGAAGCUGACGAUCCGAGGUCCCAGAGGAGACCGGACCAGACAGAGCCAGGGAUCUGAGAGGAGAAGGCACCCGCUGCCUGGCAACCUGGGCCGCAGCCUCCUGCUGACUGUAUCGAGAAGGUCCAGGGGAAUCUAAGGGAAGCACUGUGACCUAGUGGAUAGAGCGCGGGCCUGGGAAUCAGAAGGAACUGGGU